GAUCAUGGCUCAGAUUGAACGCUGGCGGCAGGCCUAACACAUGCAAGUCGAGCGGAUGAAGGGAGCUUGCUCCUGGAUUCAGCGGCGGACGGGWGAGUAAUGCCUAGGAAUCUGCCUGGUAGUGGGGGAUAACGUCCGGAAACGGGCGCUAAUACCGCAUACGUCCUGAGGGAGAAAGUGGGGGAUCUUCGGACCUCACGCUAUCAGAUGAGCCUAGGUCGGAUUAGCUAGUUGGUGGGGUAAAGGCCUACCAAGGCGACGAUCCGUAACUGGUCUGAGAGGAUGAUCAGUCACACUGGAACUGAGACACGGUCCAGACUCCUACGGGAGGCAGCAGUGGGGAAUAUUGGACAAUGGGCGAAAGCCUGAUCCAGCCAUGCCGCGUGUGUGAAGAAGGUCUUCGGAUUGUAAAGCACUUUAAGUUGGGAGGAAGGGCAGUAAGUUAAUACCUUGCUGUUUUGACGUUACCAACAGAAUAAGCACCGGCUAACUUCGUGCCAGCAGCCGCGGUAAUACGAAGGGUGCAAGCGUUAAUCGGAAUUACUGGGCGUAAAGCGCGCGUAGGUGGUUCAGCAAGUUGGAUGUGAAAUCCCCGGGCUCAACCUGGGAACUGCAUCCAAAACUACUGAGCUAGAGUACGGUAGAGGGUGGUGGAAUUUCCUGUGUAGCGGUGAAAUGCGUAGAUAUAGGAAGGAACACCAGUGGCGAAGGCGACCACCUGGACUGAUACUGACACUGAGGUGCGAAAGCGUGGGGAGCAAACAGGAUUAGAUACCCUGGUAGUCCACGCCGUAAACGAUGUCGACUAGCCGUUGGGAUCCUUGAGAUCUUAGUGGCGCAGCUAACGCGAUAAGUCGACCGCCUGGGGAGUACGGCCGCA
This 880-nucleotide ribosomal RNA is filed under the name Pseudomonas sp. Ro-13. RNAcentral describes it as "bacterial SSU rRNA". It matches the Rfam family "Bacterial small subunit ribosomal RNA", at positions 15 to 890 of the family's 1533-position model. Lineage: Bacteria; Pseudomonadati; Pseudomonadota; Gammaproteobacteria; Pseudomonadales; Pseudomonadaceae. The record is from RNAcentral.